GUGCUUGCACAGAUGACGACCGGCGCACGGGUGCGUAACGCGUAUAGAACCUACCUUUUACAGAGGAAUAGCCUUUAGAAAUGAAGAUUAAUGCCUCAUAGUAUUGUAGACUGGCAUCAGUUUAUAAUUAAAGAUUUAUCGGUAAAAGAUGGCUAUGCGUCCUAUUAGUUAGUUGGUAAGGUAACGGCUUACCAAGACAGCGAUAGGUAGGGGUCCUGAGAGGGAGAUCCCCCACACUGGUACUGAGACACGGACCAGACUCCUACGGGAGGCAGCAGUGAGGAAUAUUGGACAAUGGAGGAGACUCUGAUCCAGCCAUGCCGCGUGUAGGAAGAAUGCCCUAUGGGUUGUAAACUACUUUUAUACAGGAAGAAACACUGGUAUGUAUACCAGCUUGACGGUAC
This 404-nucleotide ribosomal RNA is filed under the name uncultured Polaribacter sp. RNAcentral describes it as "bacterial SSU rRNA". It matches the Rfam family "Bacterial small subunit ribosomal RNA", at positions 76 to 478 of the family's 1533-position model. Lineage: Bacteria; Pseudomonadati; Bacteroidota; Flavobacteriia; Flavobacteriales; Flavobacteriaceae. The record is from RNAcentral.